UUGAACGCUGGCGGCAGGCCUCACACAUGCAAGUCGAGCGGAUGAAGGGAGCUUGCUCCUGGAUUCAGCGGCGGACGGGUGAGUAAUGCCUAGGAAUCUGCCUGGUAGUGGGGGAUAACGUCCGGAAACGGGCGCUAAUACCGCAUACGUCCUGAGGGAGAAAGUGGGGGAUCUUCGGACCUCACGCUAUCAGAUGAGCCUAGGUCGGAUUAGCUAGUUGGUGGGGUAAAGGCCUACCAAGGCGACGAUCCGUAACUGGUCUGAGACGAUGAUCAGUCACACUGGAACUGAGACACGGUCCAGACUCCUACGGGAGGCAGCAGUGGGGAAUAUUGGACAAUGGGCGAAAGCCUGAUCCAGCCAUGCCGCGUGUGUGAAGAAGGUCUUCGGAUUGUAAAGCACUUUAAGUUGGGAGGAAGGGCAGUAAGUUAAUACCUUGCUGUUUUGACGUUACCAACAGAAUAAGCACCGGCUAACUUCGUG
Molecule: ribosomal RNA, 483 nt
Filed under: uncultured bacterium
Lineage: Bacteria
Description: partial 16S ribosomal RNA
Rfam family: Bacterial small subunit ribosomal RNA
Source: RNAcentral